RNAcentral lists this ribosomal RNA (443 nucleotides) under uncultured bacterium. RNAcentral's name for it is "bacterial SSU rRNA". It matches the Rfam family "Bacterial small subunit ribosomal RNA", at positions 339 to 796 of the family's 1533-position model. The record is from RNAcentral.
UUACGGGAGGCAGCAAUUAGGAAUCUUGCGCAAUGGGCGAAAGCCUGACGCAGCGACGCCGCGUGACUGAUGAAGUUCUUCGGAAUGUAAAGGUCUUUUCUGAGGGAAGAAGAAUGUGACGGUACCUCAGGAAUAAGCUCCGGCUAACUACGUGCCAGCAGCCGCGGUAAUACGUAGGGAGCGAGCGUUGUCCGAAUUCACUGGGCGUAAAGCGCGCGUAGGCGGGUUCUUAAGUUGGUGGUGAAAUCCCGAGGCUCAACCUCGGAACUGCCUCCAAAACUGGGAACCUUGAGGUAUGGAGGGGGAAGUGGAAUUCCUGGUGUAGCGGUGAAAUGCGUAGAUAUCAGGAGGAACACCCGUGGCGAAGGCGGCUUCCUGGCCAUAUCCUGACGCUGAGGUGCGAAAGCUAGGGUAGCGAACGGGAUUAGAUACCCGAGUAGUCC